GGCUCAGGAUGAACGCUAGCUACAGGCUUAACACAUGCAAGUCGAGGGGCAGCAUGUCGGUUGCUUGCAACCGAUGAUGGCGACCGGCGCACGGGUGAGUAACGCGUAUCCAACCUGCCCCACGGUGAGGGAUAACCCGCGGAAACGCGGCCUAAUACCUCAUGGCCUCCGAGCUUGACAUCAAUCUUGGAGUAAAGAUUCAUUGCCGUGGGAUGGGGAUGCGUCUGAUUAGCUUGUUGGCGGGGCAACGGCCCACCAAGGCUACGAUCAGUAGGGGUUCUGAGAGGAAAGCCCCCCACAUUGGAACUGAGACACGGUCCAAACUCCUACGGGAGGCAGCAGUGAGGAAUAUUGGUCAAUGGGCGAGAGCCUGAACCAGCCAAGUAGCGUGCAGGAUGACGGCCCUAUGGGUUGUAAACUGCUUUUAUGCGGGGAUAAAGCGGGCGACGUGUCGCCCCUUGCAGGUACCGCAUGAAUAAGGACCGGCUAAUUCCGUG
RNAcentral lists this ribosomal RNA (497 nucleotides) under uncultured bacterium. RNAcentral's name for it is "bacterial SSU rRNA". It matches the Rfam family "Bacterial small subunit ribosomal RNA", at positions 21 to 507 of the family's 1533-position model. The record is from RNAcentral.